This 274-nucleotide ribosomal RNA is filed under the name uncultured bacterium. RNAcentral's name for it is "partial 16S ribosomal RNA". It matches the Rfam family "Bacterial small subunit ribosomal RNA", at positions 523 to 796 of the family's 1533-position model. The record is from RNAcentral.
AUACGGAGGGUGCAAGCGUUAUUCGGAAUCACUGGGCGUAAAGGACGCGUAGGCGGGUUGGCAAGUUAGAUGUGAAAUCCUACAGCUUAACUGUAGAACUGCAUUUGAAACUGCUAACCUAGAGUAUGGGAGGGGGUGAUGGAAUUAGUGGUGUAGGGGUAAAAUCCGUAGAUAUCACUAGGAAUACCGAAAGCGAAGGCGAUCUCCUGGAACAUAACUGACGCUAAGGCGUGAAAGCGUGGGGAGCAAACAGGAUUAGAAACCCUAGUAGUCC